RNAcentral lists this ribosomal RNA (1306 nucleotides) under uncultured bacterium. RNAcentral's name for it is "bacterial SSU rRNA". It matches the Rfam family "Bacterial small subunit ribosomal RNA", at positions 28 to 1381 of the family's 1533-position model. The record is from RNAcentral.
AACGUACGCUGGCGGCACGCCUAACACAUGCAAGUCGAACGAAGUAGCAAUACUUAGUGGCAGACGGGUGAGUAACAUGUAGGUAUCUGCCCUUUGGCCUGGAAUAACACGAGGAAACUUGUGCUAAUACCGGAUAAGUCUUUACGGAGAAAGCUUUAUGCACCAUUGGAUGAGCCUGCACUUGAUUAGUUUGUUGGUGGGGUAAUGGCCUACCAAGACUGUGAUCAAUAGCUGAUUUGAGAGGAUGAUCAGCCACAUUGGGACUGAGACACGGCCCAAACUCCUACGGGAGGCAGCAGUGGGGAAUCUUGCACAAUGGAGGAAACUCUGAUGCAGCGAUGCCGCGUGAGUGAAGAAGGCCCUUGGGUUGUAAAGCUCUUUCGUCGGGGAAGAAAAUGACUGUACCCGAAUAAGAAGGUCCGGCUAACUUCGUGCCAGCAGCCGCGGUAAUACGAAGGGACCUAGCGUAGUUCGGAAUUACUGGGCUUAAAGAGUUCGUAGGUGGUUGAAAAAGUUAGUGGUGAAAUCCCAGAGCUUAACUCUGGAACUGCCAUUAAAACUUUUCAGCUAGAGUAUGAUAGAGGAAAGCAGAAUUUCUAGUGUAGAGGUGAAAUUCGUAGAUAUUAGAAAGAAUACCAAUUGCGAAGGCAGCUUUCUGGAUCAUUACUGACACUGAGGAACGAAAGCAUGGGUAGCGAAGAGGAUUAGAUACCCUCGUAGUCCAUGCCGUAAACGAUGUGUGUUAGACGUUGGAAAUUUAUUUUCAGUGUCGCAGGGAAACCGAUAAACACACCGCCUGGGGAGUACGACCGCAAGGUUAAAACUCAAAUGAAUUGACGGGGACCCGCACAAGUAGUGGAGCAUGUGGUUUAAUUCGAAGAUACGCGCAGAACCUUACCAACACUUGACAUGUUCGUCGCGACUCUAAGAGAUUAGAGUUUUCGGUUCGGCCGGACGAAACACAGGUGCUGCAUGGCUGUCGUCAGCUCGUGUCGUGAGAUGUUGGGUUAAGUCCCGCAACGAGCGCAACCCUCACUUUUAGUUGCCAUCAUUUAGUUGGGCACUCUGAAAGAACUGCCAGUGAUAAGCUGGAGGAAGGUGGGGAUAACGUCAAGUCCUCAUGGCCCUUACGUGUUGGGCUACACACGUGCUACAAUGGUAUCUACAACAGGAAGCAAGACUGCGAAGUUAAGCAAAUCCCUAAAAGAUACCUCAGUUCGGAUUGCACUCUGCAACUCGAGUGCAUGAAGCUGGAAUUACUAGUAAUCGUGGAUCAGCGUGCCACGGUGAAUGCGUUCCCGGGUCU